GACGAACGCUGGCGGCAUGCCUAACACAUGCAAGUCGAACGGAGAUUAUUUCGGUAAUCUUAGUGGCGAACGGGUGAGUAACGCGUGGGCAACCUGCCCUCUAGAUGGGGACAACAUCCCGAAAGGGGUGCUAAUACCGAAUGUGACAGCAAUCUCGCAUGAGGAUGCUGUGCAAGAUGGCCUCUAUUUAUAAGCUAUCGCUAGAGGAUGGGCCUGCGUCUGAUUAGCUAGUUGGUGGGGUAACGGCCUACCAAGGCGAUGAUCAGUAGCCGGUCUGAGAGGAUGAACGGCCACAUUGGGACUGAGACACGGCCCAGACUCCUACGGGAGGCAGCAGUGGGGAAUCUUCCGCAAUGGGCGAAAGCCUGACGGAGCAAUGCCGCGUGAGUGAUGAAGGAAUUCGUUCCGUAAAGCUCUUUUGUUUAUGACGAAUGUGCAGAUUGUGAACAAUGAUCUGUAAUGACGGUAGUAAACGAAUAAGCCACGGCUAACUACGUG
This 498-nucleotide ribosomal RNA is filed under the name uncultured bacterium. Its description in RNAcentral is "partial 16S ribosomal RNA". It matches the Rfam family "Bacterial small subunit ribosomal RNA", at positions 28 to 507 of the family's 1533-position model. The record is from RNAcentral.